This 261-nucleotide ribosomal RNA is filed under the name uncultured bacterium. RNAcentral describes it as "partial 16S ribosomal RNA". It matches the Rfam family "Bacterial small subunit ribosomal RNA", at positions 29 to 285 of the family's 1533-position model. The record is from RNAcentral.
AGUGAACGCUGGCGGUAGGCCUAACACAUGCAAGUCGAACGGCAGCACAGAGGAGCUUGCUCCUUGGGUGGCGAGUGGCGGACGGGUGAGGAAUACAUCGGAAUCUACUCUGUCGUGGGGGAUAACGUAGGGAAACUUACGCUAAUACCGCAUACGACCUACGGGUGAAAGCAGGGGACCUUCGGGCCUUGCGCGAUUGAAUGAGCCGAUGUCGGAUUAGCUAGUUGGCGGGGUAAAGGCCCACCAAGGCGACGAUCCGUA